AGAGUACUCCCUCCGUUCGGAAUUACUUGUCGCAGAAAUGGAGUUAUCUAGACGUAUUUUUAGUUCUAGAUACAUCCAUUUCCAAGACAAGUAAUUCCGAACGGAGGGAGUAGAUA
Non-coding RNA from Triticum urartu, 116 nucleotides. Lineage: Eukaryota; Viridiplantae; Streptophyta; Magnoliopsida; Poales; Poaceae. The record is from Rfam.